CAGCAGCCGCGGGAAUACGAAGGGGGCUAGCGUUGUUCGGAUUUACUGGGCGUAAAGCGCACGUAGGCGGGCUUUUAAGUCAGGGGUGAAAUCCCGGGGCUCAACCCCGGAACUGCCUUUGAUACUGGAAGUCUUGAGUAUGGAAGAGGUGAGUGGAAUUCCGAGUGUAGAGGUGAAAUUCGUAGAUAUUCGGAGGAACACCAGUGGCGAAGGCGGCUCACUGGUCCAUUACUGACGCUGAGGUGCGAAAGCGUGGGGAGCAAACAGGAUUAGAUACCCCCGUAGUCCCUGUCUCUUAUAC
Molecule: ribosomal RNA, 301 nt
Filed under: uncultured bacterium
Lineage: Bacteria
Description: partial 16S ribosomal RNA
Rfam family: Bacterial small subunit ribosomal RNA
Source: RNAcentral